The sequence is a transfer RNA, 87 nucleotides long. It matches the Rfam family "tRNA". From Rfam's summary of the family: Transfer RNA (tRNA) molecules are approximately 80 nucleotides in length. Their secondary structure includes four short double-helical elements and three loops (D, anti-codon, and T loops). Further hydrogen bonds mediate the characteristic L-shaped molecular structure. tRNAs have two regions of fundamental functional importance: the anti-codon, which is responsible for specific mRNA codon recognition, and the 3' end, to which the tRNAs corresponding amino acid is attached (by aminoacyl-tRNA synthetases). tRNAs cope with the degeneracy of the genetic code in two manners: having more than one tRNA (with a specific anti-codon) for a particular amino acid; and 'wobble' base-pairing, i.e. permitting non-standard base-pairing at the 3rd anti-codon position.
GGAACGGUGUCCGAGUGGUUGAAGGAGCACGCCUGGAAAGCGUGUAUAGGGGCAACCCUAUCGAGGGUUCGAAUCCCUCUCGUUCCG